This is a long non-coding RNA of Heterocephalus glaber (naked mole-rat), 536 nucleotides long. The record is from Ensembl. Lineage: Eukaryota; Metazoa; Chordata; Mammalia; Rodentia; Bathyergidae.
CUUUCUCUCCCCCUCUCCCUCUCCCUCUCCCUCUCCCUCCUUUCCUCCUCCCACUCUAACUCAAUGGGAGAAUCAAAAAAGCCUGAGCAGCAGCCCUGCAGAAAGAAAAGUGGCACCAGUAUUGUUGCCUCCCUCAUACCCUCAAGGUCCCAGACGUGAUAGUCCUCUAGGAGCUCUGAAGAGUGGAGACCAGGGUAGAUGAUGGAUCACCGGGUAAACCAUGAAGAAUGCCGGGAUAUGGAGCAGCAGUAGUGACCACACCUACUGGGACAACCCAUCUUGUCACUGUCCUAUUAGACAAGGUCCAAGAUAGGCUGUUUGAAAGUACCUCACCUGGGAAGGCAAAUGCACCCCCAUGGACAAGAACUUCACAUGAAUUUUCAAGAUUGGCAGUGAACUUCACAGUGGAUGUGAUCUCACGUCUGGACCACUCUUCAGGGAAAGGGGAAAUACCUCCGGAAUCUGAAUGAUCAUCACCUACCAAAAACUACAGAAGUAGUGGCCAGAGGACAGCACUGUGAAGCAUGGACCCCAAG